RNAcentral lists this ribosomal RNA (1324 nucleotides) under Xylaria sp. genotype 341. RNAcentral's name for it is "eukaryotic LSU rRNA". The stretch from base 738 to 1324 matches the Rfam family "Eukaryotic large subunit ribosomal RNA", at positions 1 to 598 of the family's 3401-position model. Lineage: Eukaryota; Fungi; Ascomycota; Sordariomycetes; Xylariales; Xylariaceae. The record is from RNAcentral.
GGAUCAUUAAAGAGUUUAAUAAAACUCCUAAACCCCUGUGAACUUACUGGUGUUUGGCUCGCCAGAUAUAGUCUGGUCCGUAAGCAAAUCGACUGCCUGCCUGUGUAACAGGCAGGUAAGCUUUUGUCGCGGGGUCCCGGAUCAACCCGGGCUAGAUAGCCACUUAACUAUAUACUUUUUAUAAAAUCUGUGAACUUACUAGGUUGGAUUCUCGCCAGAGAUAGUCUGGUUUCUGCUUCGCGGAUCGCCUACCCGUGACACCUGUCACAGGCAGGUAUGCUUCUGCCGCGGGUCCGUAAGUAAAUCAUCUGUUUCGCAAGGGACGGCGAUUUAUCUGUGGAAGAGGUCCGCUAACUAUAUUCUUAGUAUAGUUUGUUCACUAGAUCAAACAUUCUGAAUAAAAACUUAAACUAGUUAAAACUUUCAACAACGGAUCUCUUGGUUCUGGCAUCGAUGAAGAACGCAGCGAAAUGCGAUAAGUAAUGUGAAUUGCAGAAUUCAGUGAAUCAUCGAAUCUUUGAACGCACAUUGCGCCCAUUAGUAUUCUAGUGGGCAUGCCUGUUCGAGCGUCAUUUCAACCCUUAAGCCCCUGUUGCUUAGCGUUGGGAGCCUACAGCCUGCUGUAGCUCCUUAAAGGUAGUGGCGGAGUCGGUUCACACUCUAGACGUAGUAAAAUCUUUAUGUCGCCUAUGGAUGAGCCGGCGCCUUGCCGUAAAACCCCUAAUCUUUCACAAGGUUGACCUCGGAUCAGGUAGGAAUACCCGCUGAACUUAAGCAUAUCAAUAAGCGGAGGAAAAGAAACCAACAGGGAUUGCCCUAGUAACGGCGAGUGAAGCGGCAACAGCUCAAAUUUGAAAUCUGGCCUUCGGGUCCGAGUUGUAAUUUGCAGAGGAUGCUUUGGGCGCGGUGCCUUCCGAGUUCCCUGGAACGGGACGCCUUAGAGGGUGAGAGCCCCGUACGGUUGGACACCAAGCCUCUGUAAAGCUCCUUCGACGAGUCGAGUAGUUUGGGAAUGCUGCUCUAAAUGGGAGGUAAAUUUCUUCUAAAGCUAAAUAUUGGCCAGAGACCGAUAGCGCACAAGUAGAGUGAUCGAAAGAUGAAAAGCACUUUGAAAAGAGGGUUAAAUAGCACGUGAAAUUGUUGAAAGGGAAGCGUUUGCGACCAGACCUUUUCCCAGCGGAUCAUCCGGUGUUCUCACCGGUGCACUUCGCUGGGUUGAGGCCAGCAUCGGUUUCCGCAGGGGGAUAAAAGCCUGGGGAACGUAGCUCCCUCGGGAGUGUUAUAGCCCCUCGCAUAAUACCCUUGCGGGGACCGAGGACCGCGC